Molecule: non-coding RNA, 74 nt
Organism: Ipomoea triloba (trilobed morning glory)
Lineage: Eukaryota; Viridiplantae; Streptophyta; Magnoliopsida; Solanales; Convolvulaceae
Source: the annotation of a RefSeq genome assembly
GCUUGUGUAGCUCAGUUGGUUAGAGCACCCGUUUAGUAAGCGGGAUGUCUUGAGUUCAAACCUCAACAAGAACA